RNAcentral lists this ribosomal RNA (542 nucleotides) under uncultured Burkholderia sp. RNAcentral describes it as "bacterial SSU rRNA". It matches the Rfam family "Bacterial small subunit ribosomal RNA", at positions 74 to 611 of the family's 1533-position model. Lineage: Bacteria; Pseudomonadati; Pseudomonadota; Betaproteobacteria; Burkholderiales; Burkholderiaceae. The record is from RNAcentral.
GGGUGCUUGCACCUGGUGGCGAGUGGCGAACGGGUGAGUAAUACAUCGGAACGUGUCCUGGAGUGGGGGAUAGCCCGGCGAAAGCCGGAUUAAUACCGCAUACGCUCUAUGGAGGAAAGCGGGGGAUCUUCGGACCUCGCGCUCAAGGGGCGGCCGAUGGCAGAUUAGCUAGUUGGUGGGGUAAAGGCCUACCAAGGCGACGAUCUGUAGCUGGUCUGAGAGGACGACCAGCCACACUGGGACUGAGACACGGCCCAGACUCCUACGGGAGGCAGCAGUGGGGAAUUUUGGACAAUGGGGGCAACCCUGAUCCAGCAAUGCCGCGUGUGUGAAGAAGGCCUUCGGGUUGUAAAGCACUUUUGUCCGGAAAGAAAACUUCGGGGUUAAUACCUCUGGAGGAUGACGGUACCGGAAGAAUAAGCACCGGCUAACUACGUGCCAGCAGCCGCGGUAAUACGUAGGGUGCGAGCGUUAAUCGGAAUUACUGGGCGUAAAGCGUGCGCAGGCGGUGAUGUAAGACCGAUGUGAAAUCCCCGGGCUUA